This 9100-nucleotide long non-coding RNA is filed under the name Gossypium raimondii (Peruvian cotton). RNAcentral describes it as "long non-coding RNA (GRAI_LNC008780)". Lineage: Eukaryota; Viridiplantae; Streptophyta; Magnoliopsida; Malvales; Malvaceae. The record is from RNAcentral.
GCUAUACUAUAAUAAAGUUCGCCGAUAGUAGCUCCGGCUUGAACCCAUGCCGUCUCGGUUUUCAUGUCGAUAUCUAUAGACUUAAGGUUGAACAUAUCGAGGAUAACAAACGGGACGUCGGAAAUAUACGAAAGUCCCUCGUAAUCAUGUCCGCCACUUCGAAUCCUUAGCUGAAAACCAUGACGCUUAGCGCAAAUGACCGCAGCUUGUGCAUGGGAUGGAUGUAGAGCGGUGAUAAUAGCCACCGGCCUUGAAGUCGCAGAUAAUAAGAUUCGAAGAUUGUUAGCACGUAAUUGAUAAGUAGAUUGGAAAGAUGCAUUGUUGGGAGUCAAUAUAGCGCCAGCAAUCGAGACAGAAUGGCCGGAAUGUUUAGGAAGGCAUUGAAGAAAAGCAUCGAAAUCGACCGGAUUGUAAGAUGCUGCCGAUGAAAUCGACAACAAAACGAAAAUCGAAACAAUUAAACAGGUGUAGCUUGAAGCUUUCAUUUUGGAAAUAAUGCGAAGAGAUAUGGUAAUGGUGCAUUGUUGUUAUGGUAUAUAUAAUGGUGAAGGUGUGGCAUUUGGAUCAAAUUGGAAAGCUUAUCUAAAUGUGUGAAAGGUUUAGAAAGCAUACGACUUAUAAGUUAAAAGACUUUUCAACAACGAAAUUCAUUGUUUUAUUCGAGGGUAAAUUAUUAAAAUAGUCACUUUUGUUUACCUUAAGUUACAUUUUAGUCACUUACGUUAUCGUGUUGUAACAUUUUAGUUACCGAACUGUUAAUUGUUGUUAACGGUGUAAUGGUAAGCUGAUGUACGUUAAAUUAUCAUUUUAAACGAAAAUUUUAGGUUAAAUUAUACUAUUGGUUUCUAUACUUUUUCGUUUUAAGUAAUUUAAUUUUUUUCUUUUAUGUUUUUUUAACUUUUCUUUUUUUUUUUUUAUUUUCCAUUCUCUCCUGCUUCUCCCCCUGUUUUCCUCCCCUCUUCAUUCCUUUUAAUGUAGUUUUUCUAUAUUUUCCAUUUAUUAAAACUAAUCCUUAUACUUUUAUUUUUUUUGAACAAUUUAAUUUUUUUUCUUUUUACUUAUUUAUUUUCCUUUUAGUUUUUCUUUAAAACCAGUCUCAUAUUUUUCACUGCAUAAACAUAAUCUUUGCCCACCAAAUAACCCAAGUUCUUUUUUCUUUCACAUGUUUCCUAAAUAAAUUUCAUACAAAACCGAAUAUUAAUCAUUCUUAAUCAAAUCUCGAUUUGAAUAUAACCUAAUUUUGAAACUAAAAUUGGAUCUGACUAAUCAAUAUAAAAAGUUAUAUCAUUAAUAAUAUCUAAACAUAAAUUUAAUUCUUUAUAUUCAAAACAAAAUUUUCUAUUUUCAAAUUUUUACAGAAUCGUGUAGAUUAUUCAUUUCCUUUUCUUUUAUUUUCUGACGAAUAAAAUUAAACAAACGAUAAAAUUGAUAUAAACCUUCUUGGAUAUUCCCAAACAAGCUUGAUUAGUGGCCGAGCAUGGAUGAAUCGAAGAGAGAAAGGAAGCAUGGACUCAAAUUGACUUGGGUUAAGUUGAGGGUAGUUUCGUAUGGUAUUUGUUUUAGUCAUUGAGAGUGUAGAGCUCUUUUGAAAAAUCCGUGAAACAACGUUGUUAUAGAGGAUGAGAAUGUUGUAGGUAAGAUAUAUAAGGUGAUUGUGGGGGUUGGUUAGGAGGUUGAGAGAACAAGCUUAGGAAACUUUUUUUAGGGUGGAUUGCCAUGACUGGCGAGGUCUUCAAGUGAGGUGAGCUUGUAGGCUAAGUUAUUGAGAGAUCUAAAUUGAUUCGUUAAAGCGGUGAUGGACGAUGACGGUUUGUAAUUGUGUGGUGAGAAUAUGCAAAACAAGUUUUAUUUUGAUUUCAGCUUUCACAUUUUCUUUUUUCAUAAAUAUAAAAAAGUUUUAAUAAAUAGAAAAUAUAGAAAAACUACGUUAAAAGAAAUGGAUAAGGUAGGAAAAUAGGGGGAGAAGCGGAAGAGAAUGGACAAUAAAAAAAAGUUAAAAGAACAUAAUCGAAAAACAAAUUUGCUCAAAAUGAAAAAAUAUAGGGACCAAUUGUUCAAUUUAACCUAAAAGUUUUGUUUGAAAUGAUGAUUUAACAUGCCAUGUGGGCUUACUGUUACACCGUUAACUGCAAUUAACAGCUCAGUGGCUAAAAUGUUAUAAUACAAAAAAGUAAGUGACUGAAACGUGACAUUUCAAAUAUCAAUAACUAAAAUGUAACCCGGACAAACAAAAAUAACUAUUUUAAUGGUUUAUCCUUAUUAAUAUUUAAUACAAUAUUUGUUUUCACCAAAAUAUGAAAUAUUCAAUCAUUCUUGAAAUAGGGGAAGCUAGAAAUAUUUAAAAGAUUUUUGUAGGCGCCGCCACGCUAUGCCCCUGUCUUGGAAUCAAUUAAAAAUUGCUAUUACCCAACCUAUGUUUGGUUCAACUUUUAAUUAGAUGGUUUAAUUGAAUUUUAAAAGGAAAUUAAGAUUAUAAACUAAAUUUUAUAAAAAUAGAAUAGAUGUAUAUACAAACAUGAUAAGAUAUUUAACUUUUUUUUUUUUGGGUACAUACCCCUUUUAUCAGGAGAGUACAAUUUAAAAGUUAGGGUGUAGUACCUGAGGACUGGUAGAGGCCUCAGCUUUUUUUAAAUGAUUUUUUUUAUUUAGGUCUUUUAUAAUUUUUAAAAUUUGAAUUUAAUAAAGAUAAAAUGAUAAAAAUUUGAUUUAGCCUUUUAAAAAUUAUAAAUAUAUAAGCAAUUAACAAUGUGAAGUUGCAUUUUUACUAUCGUAAAGUUUGCAAUUUAAUUUCGGUCCGUCCUAAAAAUAAUUUCUAGCUUUGCCCCUGAUUCUUGACCUCUCAAAAUAAAAAAAUUUGUCUGUUUAGUCUCCUCUAAAAUAGUUGAAUUAUAAAUUAAUAUAUGAUAAAAUUAUACUUUGAUCCCAAAAAAUAAAAUAAAAAAUUCUUUCUAGUCUCUUAAAAAUAAUGAAAUUGUAAAUUAAUAAGUGAUAAAAUUAUUUUUUGGCCUCUCAAAAAUUUAUAAUUAAAUUUUAGCCUCUAAAAGAAUUUCUAGACCCUUGCCUUUGAGAAGAAAGAGCAAAUCAUUAUCUCCCACACACGUAAGAAGGCGAUCCCUAUGACUUGAACCCACAAUGUGAACAAAUCAUUGCCAUGCACAAAUAGGAAUCUUGCGACUUGAACGGACAAUAUGAGAUGUAAGGUGAAGACUCAUAACCAAUAAACCAAAUGUUGGAGUUCAAUGAGAUAUUUAUAUAAUAUAAUUAUUAGGGUUUUUUAAAUUUUAUAUUAUAAAUUUUUUAUUAUUUAUUAAUAUUAUUAAGCUCGAAUUUAACUAAAUUAAUAGCUCGAGCUCGACUCAAUAAUUAUUGAAUCAAGUUUAAAUUUUCUUAAGUCGAACUCAAGUAGUUUGCGAAUCCUAAUGUCUCAUUUAUACUCUUAUUUCAAGUUCUCCAACUCUCCCAAAAACACUUUUUGUGUGUGUAUGAAAAUGACGGAACCCUUUCAGGAAGAGUACAUUGCCAUCUAUCCUAUGAUAAAGUUUGCCGGUAGUAGCUCCUGCUUGAAUUCACGCUGUCUCAGUCGACAUAUCGAUGUCUAUAGAGUUUUGGUUGAACAUAUCGAGCAUAAUAAACAAGACGCCAGAAGUUUACGAAAGUCCCUCGAAAUCAUGACCACCACUUCGAAUCCUUAGUUGAAAAUCAUGUUGCUUGGCGCAAAUGAUAGCGGCUUGUGCAUGAGAUGAAUGUAGAGCAGUUAUAAUGGCAACCGAUCUAGAAGUUGCUGAUAAUAAGGGUCGAAGAUUGCUAGCACAUAAUUGGUAUAUAUAUUGAAAAGAUGAAUUGUUAGGGAGUUAAUAUUGCAUCGCAUUUAUUGGACACGUUGCAGACACUUAGACGAGAAUCAAUGAGCAAUCGAAGAAGAGCCAAAACAUGCUCGACGUUGGGACAAGGAGCGUCAGCUUGUUAGGACAACGCGACGGACAACGUCAUGACGAGGCAAAUGAGACAUUGUGACAUCACGAUGUAUUCUCCUAUUUGGCAACCGCAUUUUAUAUUUCAAACAGAACUUCUUCUCUUAGUUAGAUUCUGAUUAUUUCAGGAAUAUUUUAGUAUGAUUAGAACUUUAAUCUUAGCCUAUUUAAAGGGGCUAUCGUAUCCUUAUUUUGACAAGCCAAUGAGCAAUGACUUUUCUUUGAGGGUUGCAUAUGAGUUUUGGUGAAGUUUCGUGGAUGGAGAUAAUUUUGUUCCCAAGUUAAGACUUUGUUUUCGGGGUUUAGGUUUUUAUGUUUAGUACAUUUAAGUUUAUUUUCUUCAUAUUGUACUCUCGUUUGUUUACUCAUUUAAUGAAAAAUCAAAGCAUCCUUUACUCGUGGUUUUUAUUUCUUUGAGGGCUUUCCACGUAAAAUAUUUGUGUUCAUUCUUCUUUGUGUUUUCUGUUUUGUUGUCUAUACGGGUCAAGUCCCAACAUUUUGCUUUUAAACAUUAUGCGACAAUGUUCUAUUUAUUUAAAAUUUUCAUUUUAAAUUUAGCUACAUAAGAUUUGAUGUGUCGAUAGUUAAAUUAAUGGUUUUAAUAACAAAAUGACCUGAUUUAUACAAUCUCGAUCUUUUAAGAUGCAAUUAGAAUGUUUUGAAGUUUGGGACCAAUUUAGAAUGAAAGUUUGGGGAUGUUUAGUACAAUUAACCCUACAUAAAAUUAAUUGAUUUCAAGAAAAUUCAAGAAUUAAUGUUAAAAAAAAAAGAAAAUUUAAAAUUUUAUAUAUUUUUUAUUCUUUAAAAAAAUAGAUUUUUAUAAAAUUAAAAUUUUAUAUUUGGGUCAAAUAAAAAAUUAAUAUAUAUGGAAGAAAGUCGAAUGAAGAUUUUAUUCAAUUUAAGAACAAUUUAAAAAAACAAAAAUGAAAUUUCUUUAUUGAAAAGUCUUAGAAACAAGUUAUAGAAAGGUGGCCCAAUCAUAAUCUUAUGAGUAACAAGUCACCCAAAAUUCAGAAAAUAUCCAGGUUCGCUUAAAAUCAUCACCACAAUAAGCUCUUGCAAACUCCUAAUAAAUAUAGAUUCACCAAAGCUAGAAAAGCACAUAAUAGAAACUAUAGAGAGAAAAAUAAUGAUCCCUAUGGAAACGGAUAGAAAAUGGAUCAUGAACUUAGUGUCAUUAAUUACCACAAAUACAACAAGCUUUGGGUCACCAAAUCUUUUUCAAUAAUUCCUAAUCUACUGUGGUCACUAAACUAACUAUAAAUACGAUUAAGGCAAGUGUACCUAUCGAACAAUAGUAUAGCUGUGGCGAGUAGAGAAUAUGGUAUCCAUAAGGACUAAAAGUGCUAGUAAUUACCGUUUUUCUAUUAUUUAGUCGACAAAUUGGAAUGAUUGUUUUUAAUCUAAAAUUACUAGACUAAUCUAACUAAGAAUGCAACAGAGAAUGAAAUAGGAAAAUAAUCAAAGAUAACCAAUGAGAUAGACAAUACCCAGGAAAGAAUCUACCUAAACUUCACCUAUUAUUAUGAAUCUGAAUUAAACGAUUUAUUCACUUACGUCUUGAUCCGUAGAAAUCCUUAAAUUAUAUUAAUAUCUCUUUCGAGAGUAAGAACAACUGACUCUAGGUUGAUUAAUUGAAAUCUCUUUCUAAUUAAAACUCCUAUUGUCGCAUUAACUCAAUCUAUGGAUUCCCCUAUUAGAUUUGACUCUAAUCUGGUAGAUUUAUGUCGUCCUAUUUUUAGGAUUGCAUGCAACUCCACUCAAUUAUGCUAAAUCUACUCUUAAACAUGAACUUUUGCUCCACUGAAAUAAGCACAUUAAACAUGAAUUAAUAUCGCAGAAAUAUUAAAAUAAAAAUUAAGCAUACAUAAUUGAGAACAAGAAUCAAGUAUUUAUCAUAUAAAUUAGAAAUCAAAUAAUAAGAUUCAUCAUAGGUUUCAUACUCCCUAGGUAUCUAGGGAAUUUAGUUUAUAAUCCUGAAUAGAAACAUCUCAAAGUGAAGAUAACCACAUGACAUAAAGAAACUUAAUAAAACUUUAAAAGAAAUUAAAUAGAGAUCUUUGAUCUUGAGGGAGAUUCGCUUCUGAGUUGAUUCCGAUGGCGUUCUUCGGGUGUUUUCUUCAAUCUUCUCUGAUUGCUCCCUUAUGUCUUCUUCUAAUGGGUAUUUAUAGACUUUAGAAUGCUCAUAAAAAUUGGGUUUUUUUGCGUAUUUGGGAAGUAGGAUGCGAAAUCGACACGGGCUGGCACAUGAACGUGUGACCAGCCUAUGUGGCUCACACGGGCGUGUGCCUAGCCCGUGUGGCUCCUAAAAAUAGCUCUUUUUGUCCGAUUUUAGCUCAUUUUUUCGCUCCUUUUACUCCCAAAUGCUCUCCUAAGUAUAGAAACAUGAAUUUAAAGGAUUAGGAGCAUCAAAUUUACUAAUUUUUAUAAUUAAUCAUUCAAAAACGUAUUAAAAAUGGAAUUAAACUAUGUUACUUUUAUAGCUUAUCAUCUACUUUUUCAUAACUUAAAAACUCACCAUCAUUACAACUUACAUAGCAUCCAUUGUCGCAAUCAACAAACCCCGAAAUCCAAAUCAAAUGACCUUGAAUAUUUGAUAACCAUCCAUAGUUUCAGUCAUUUUACGAAUGCUUUCUGUAGUUCCAACUUAUACCGAGAGUCGUAUUAUCAAUAGAUCAAUAUUACCUAAUAAUCACAACCAUCAUCCAAACAAGCCAACAUCUCACAACAUUAUAGAUCCCUAAAAGUUCCAAAAUAGCAUACACAUGAUGGUGUCAUGGAUCACAAAUCAAAACUAGAGAUGAAUGCACACAAAAUGUCGCAUGGAUGUGAACUGAUUAAAUGAAGUUCAUUUGACUCACCUAAACUGACCUGAUUUGUGGAAUAUGUAAUUUUUCAAAGUAUUAGAAACACUUUGAGAGCAUGUAUCCAAACACUUGGUGCGUUUAGUUUUCUUGUAGCUUAUUUUAAGAGUUAGACUAACUUAAACAAAUUAAUAAUAAAUUGACGUACGUACGUUCAUUUCCUUAGCAGCUAAAUGUUGUAUUUAAUUGGUUUUUAGACACUUUAAAAGCAUGUACCCAAACACUAAAAUUACUUUCAUUUUUGGACAUGUUUUUGGUACAAAGUUAAUUGCAUUUAAUUGUUUCUAAAGUAUUUAUUUACUAAAAAAAUGUUCAAAAAAAAGUUUGAUAUUAUCUACAUUACGUGACAUUCGGGUCAUGUAAAGAAAAAAAAUAUAGAAAAAGUCAAAAUCAAGAUCCAGAGAAUUUUAAUUUUUUUAACUUAAUCACUCAUCUAUUUUAAAAUUUAUUAUUUUAUCGUAUAAAUAGUGAAAUUAGGUUACACAAAUAAAACUACAUAUAUUAUUAUUUAAAAAAAUCUCAAAAUUAAUUUUGGUGUAAUAUGAAAUGACGUACAUAAACUUUUAUAAAUGAAAUUUUGAUUUAAUUCAAAUUUCACAAACUAUUAAUAUCUUUAUUAAUACAUAAUAAUUUUUCGUUUUUAUAUUACUUAUAUAUUCAAUUUAAAAUUAAAUUAAUGUAUUUAUUUUUUAAAAUAUAUAUAAUCAAAUCAAAAUUAAAAUUUUAUGUAUAUAUUUAAUCAAAAAAAAGUAUAUAUAAAUUAUAUCACCUUAUUAAAGUUCAUAAAUAGUUUUAAGAAUAAUCACUAUUGUACAUCAAAGAAACAAACGAGAUUAAGAAAUAAAAACAUACACACUGAACUUACGUAAAAAGAUAAUUGAGAAGAUAUUUCAUAUAUUGUUUUAAUGAGAUGGCGGCGUUGGCAAAGGGGGUAUGCUUUGUUCGUUCUUGAAGAAAUUCUCAGGGUCUAUCUUGGCUUUCACACCCACCAGCCUCAUGAAAUUGUUCCUGAAAUACUUUGCCCCGUAUUCCUUCGCAACCUCAAAAUCCGUCUCGCCGCUUUCGUUGCUACCGAUGUCGAGGUCUCGGUAAUUGAAAAACGCUUCCCUCGGGUUGCUCGACGCAUACGGCGCCAUCACAUUGUACAACCUCCUUGACAUCUCCACAUAACGCCCUGUGGCGUUGAUCCCUCCGUCGGACUCGGACCAUUGGAUCCCGUACUGUGCCUUGAAGAGGUUCCCUCUGCGGUGCGCAAAGGCUGUCUCCGACUCCGAUAUCUCCUCCAUUCGCCCACCGUAAGGAUUAAAUUGCACGAAUAUGUCUUCAAUGUCCAUCAACACUUGCCAUAAGGUCUCUAACCCUUGUUUGGGAAUCACUGCUUUGUAGUAAUCGGACUUGGUCUUGUAAAACACUCGGUCUACUUGAACUCUAUUAAGCAACACAUCAAUGGAGGUUCCAUUGGGGAAACCCGCCCAAUUUAAGGCCGAUUCGACCCAACUCAUCUCCGAACAAUCAUUUCUGGUCAAACCCAAUUCAGGGAAUCUUACGUUCAUUAAUCGUAAAAGCCCAUCAGCUUGUCCCAGAAAAUGGCCGAUGAAUGAAACCGUAACAGUUUUAUUGUUGCCGCCAUUGUUGAUAGGCACAAGCUGGAGUCUAAUGAAGAGAUCUUUGGGCAGUUUAGGGGCAACUUGUUGCCAACGAUAAGCCAGCUCCGUUGCGCCUUGUUCCAAGGUCCUUUGCACGGUGAAAAUAGUGACCCUAGGUGGGACACGAACCAGCUUGAUCCGCCAUGAAAGGAUGAUACCGAAGCUAGUAGUUCCACCGCCUCUUAUAGCCCAAAACACGUCUUCCCCCAUUGAUUUACGGUCAAGGAUUCGACCAUUAGUGUCGAUCAAUUGUGCAUCAAUGACAUUAUCAAUGGAAAGCCCGUAUUUUCUCAUUAAAAAUCCAUACCCACCUCCACUGAAGUGUCCACCAAUGCCUAGAGUGGUACAUACACCAGAUGGGAAUCCAUGGACAUCGCUUUUCUGGGCUAUACUAUAAUAAAGUUCGCCGGUAGUAGCUCCGGCUUGAACCCAUGCCGUCUCGGUUUUCAUGUCGAUAUCUAUAGACUUAAGGUUGAACAUAUCGAGGAUAACAAACGGGACGUCGGAAAUAUACGAAAGUCCCUCGUAAUCAUGUCCGCCACUUCGAAUCCUUAGUUGAAAACCAUGACGCUUAGCGCAAAUGACCGCAGCUUGUGCAUGGGAUGGAUGUAGAGCGGUG